UGGGCUAUUUCACCUUCCAUAACUGGAAAAUCUCUCUCGCCUGAGCAAACGAAGUAUCUUCACUCUUAACUUCUUCCAUGGCGUCCGUUCCUGCAUAUCGUGAAGCCGGAGGGUCAAGAACCGGCGGGAAAAUUGUUCGAGCUAGGCGAGCUUGGAGUAGGAAGACUCCUUAUGAACGUCCUGGACUUUCGAAUUUGGGCCCUGGAGGAAACCCUAGUUGGAUCUCCAGGUUCAUUUUCUCGCCUACUCUCACCAUUGCUUCCGGCGCUGGAAAGUUUCUCUCUUCUGUCUUCAUUACCGAGUCGUCGUCGUCCUCCUCCGACAGUGAUUCAGAGGAUGAUGUCGAAGAUGAUGUUCAUGAUGACAAUCGUGUCUUCCAGGGAAAUGGAGUGAAGAAGAGUGGGACAUCAGAGAUGGUCAAUUCAUUUAGGAAGGACUUUCCUCCAGAGAAGAAAGAUAGCAAGCAUCUAAUUGAACAGCUACUGAUGCAGGAAACCUUCUCUAGGGCAGAGCGUGACAAGUUAUUUCAGAUAAUUGAAUCAAGGGUUGUGGAAUGUCAAAGCAUUGAAGGAGAGGCUGCAGGGCGGCUGACUGAGCUUUCAAACAAAGCAGUUGAUAGUGAUGAUGGCGGGUCUGCAGUCUGCAGCACAGCAAUUCUUGAGGCGAAAACAUGGUUGAAUGAAAAACGAUUGGGAUUGGGGUCUAGUUCGACAUUGGAAUUGGAUCAUGGGCCAUGCACCUUGAAUUCCACGAUGUUGCCACUGGUUAAUGAUGAAGAGACGGGUUCACUUGUAGAUGUAGCCAAAUCAUACAUGCGAGAACGCCCUAUAUGGGCCUCUCCUUCCGUGAAUAAUUUUGAGUUUAAGUCUCCUUCACCAUCAAGGUUACAGCUCUUCAAAGAAGAAACAUCAUUUUCAGUUAGUGGAAACCCACUGUCUUCAUCUAAGAUCAAAAGGGAAUCUCCUGCCAGUGGAUCAUGGAACAUCCAGGAGGAAAUACGACGUGUGCGAUCAAAAGCAACCGAGGAAAUGCUAAGAUCCCGCUCAUCUGCCAAGCUUGAUUGGUCUUUAUUUGCUUCAGACUACAAAGGUAAUUUGAGUUCUGCACGUUCAGACUAUCCGAAAAUUCACAGUCAAGAAAAAAUGCAACAUGCUGUACAGUCAAUAGAUAAAUCAAUGAAUCGGUUUGCAGACAUUUCUGUUACUCAUAACUUAUCAGAGUCAAAGAUCACACAAGAUGUGCCAGAAAAUGGGGCUUGCUUACUUGGCUCAGGCAGCAUUUUUCAACAACAGGAUAAGGAUUUUGAAACCAAUCCUACCAAUGAGAGGAAAGCAUCAAAUUCAAGUUUAGAUGAGAGAGGAUGCUCUACAGUCCAUGAAGUUGCAGGGCUGGCCAACGGUCUUCCGUCGUUACCUAGUUCCACUGGGGAGCUUGCUGUAGAAGAGAACCAUGUCGACAAGAUAGUUGAAGAAAGCAAUUCAUCAGGUCACGACCAUGAGGCAAAAGGGCUUCCUGUUAAGGAGCGAUGCGAACUAAGUGAAGUGUCCAUGGAGGUCCCAAACACGAACGACGCUGAUGCCACUGCCAAUAAAGUUCCAUCAGAUGGAAACCAAGUUGGUAAAGAUGUAUCAGAAGGAAACCAUAAUGGUAGCAAGGAAAAAAACGAUGCUGGUUAUAACGUUAAUACGGUAGAGAAGCCAAUUACAGAAAGCAACGUAGCAGCGGGGAAGACGAGUAGAAUGGCAUAUCUGCGACGUGGAAGACGAAGAAACUGAGGGGGGGAAAACAGGAAGGUAGUUUGUGUUGGAACCUAAUAUUGGACAUAAAAACCUUUGACUAUAGCUAAAACAAGGCUCUUGUAUCAUGAGUAGUUUGAUUAGGUGUACGGAUUUGUAUAGAGCUAGAUCAUAGAUUCAGCUUGAAUAAGCGACACUGUGGAAGCUUUGUGUAUUUAAGUUGUGGAAAAUUAUGGUUCGUUAGAAUUUCAUUUUAAAACCGGUAAUGCAUUAACGUUCACAUGUACGUAAAACUUAUUUAGAUACAAAUGAUGAACGCAAAUUAGAGAGAAA
Cucurbita maxima (winter squash) is the source of this 2069-nucleotide RNA transcript. It is a transcript of the gene named protein KAKU4-like, with no coding region annotated. NCBI's taxonomy places the organism in Eukaryota, Viridiplantae, Streptophyta, Magnoliopsida, Cucurbitales, Cucurbitaceae. The record is from RefSeq and is a predicted model, not a curated record. The transcript has 12 exons.